AUCAGCCUCCUGCUUCUCCUCUCAUUCCUUUUUUUCUUCAUCAUCACUAGAAUAAAUAAUCUAAAAAAUCCAGGUUUAAGAAUGCGGUGAUGAACAGAGCAGCGAGAUGAAAGAAAAAGUGGGAAAGAAGCAAAUCCAAAAAAGAAAAAAAGAUUACUGCUCCAAAAUGCCAGCAGAACUACCCACAUUUUUGAAACACAUUAAUCAACCCACAUUGCUCAAAAAUCCCAGCAGAACAAUCCCAACAAUACCCACUCCAAAAUACCUUGAAAUCAGUACAACCCAUGGUAAAAGAUUUCUGUCAGGCCUUCCAUCAAACAAGUUGUGGAUAUCACAAGCAAUCAAACUUUGGAUAUCUUUGAUAAUGUAUAUAUCUGAAUGGUCUUGCAUGGAGUGCUCUAAGAACAAAUCGAAAGAGAAGUUUAUUUAACUGUUCGAAGAUAAGUUUUUUUAACUGUGGGAGUUUGGAAGGGAAUGCGUUAGGCAAAGGAAUUGGUGAUUGGGAGUUUAGAUUAGUUGGGUACUGCUAGGAGUGUGAUCCUUCGGGAAACAACACUCACAGUCAUCCAUGUGCAUAAUAUGCCUCCAUUGUAGUUGCUUUUCCCUUGUUGCAACACUCACUGUUGUCCAUCGUUGGCAUUGGCUCCACCAUUAUUGGCAACCUCUCGUAUUGGCAACGAUUGGUACCUUAUAGCAAUUUGAGACAGGUGAGUCCUCUAGUGGUGACGGCAUACAACUUGCUGGUGACAUGGUUGAAAUCAAAAGGCGCCAAGGAGGUUGAGGAGGAAUGGGUUAACAAG
RNAcentral lists this unclassified non-coding RNA (800 nucleotides) under Hevea brasiliensis (rubber tree). Lineage: Eukaryota; Viridiplantae; Streptophyta; Magnoliopsida; Malpighiales; Euphorbiaceae. The record is from RNAcentral.